CACACUUUAUAUCUAUUGUCAAAUAGAUAAAUGGCUGUUAGUCUGUUCACUCCAUGGCCAAAAGUAUGUGGGUCCAGACCACUGUGGCUGAUACUGUGACUAGAUCAACAGGCCCUGGGUCUAGACCACUGUGGCUGAUACUGUGACUAGAUCAACAGGCCCUGGGUCUAGACCACUGUGGCUGAUACUGUGACUAGAGCAACAGGCCCUGGGUCUAGACCACUGUGGCUGAUACUGUGACUAGAGCAACAGGCCCUGGGUCGAGAACACUGUGGCUGAUACUGUGACUCGAUCAGCAGGCCCUGGGUCUAGACCACUGUGGCUGAUACUAUGACUAGAUCAUCAGGCCCUGGGUCUAGAACACUGUGGCUGAUACUGUGACUAGAUCAUCAGGCCCUGGGUCUUGAACACUGUGGCUGAUACUGUGAUUAGAGCAACAGGCCCUGGGCUCAGACCACCGUGGCUGAUCAGUAAUCAUGGUUCAUCACUGGGCUGCUGUGAGUAAACUUCUAAUCACUGACUUUUCUCGUCACUACCCUCCUGACUCCUGUGUCACACUGUAUCUUGAAAGACUUUGGUUGCACGAUUCAGGCGGAGAGGAAGAGGCUAAUCUAGAGCGCUCACUCUCACCAAAAUAAAUCCAGAAUAAACCCAAAGCAUUUUUAUGGGCUUAAUAUGCAGACCUAAGCUUGUCGCCUGCCUUCCUGCUGCAAGACUGUCGAAGAUAAAUGCACAACGCAGAGGAUGAGAAGACUAGAAUUAACGAUUGAUGGAAAUUGUUGUUUUUUUAGUUCAAAAUCUGUUUAGAAUCUUAUAAGAAUGUCAGUCCUAAACUCAUAGCUACAGGGAUUAUGUUUUCAUUGGUCUGAGUCUGAAAUAGGAUACUUGUUAUUUGGCCAUUGGCCCAGUUUUAUUGCAAGGAAUUCUAAUUGGCCAACCACAGGCUAGGGCGGGGUUAUAAACUACAUCCUGUCCCUUUGUUCUGUGGAGAGAAUCACUGAGGACAGGGGAGCGUGGACAUCUACCAUCCACCUCCUUGCAUGAUUUGUUCUCUUUGAAUAAACCUAUUUUCCUCCCCCUGAUUUGCUAUGGAGCCUGUGUUACUGAAUAAUAUUUUUUUAAUUUAAACUUUAUUUAACUAGGCAAGUCAGUUAAGAACCAAUUCUUGUUUACAAUGACAGCCUACCGGGGAACAGUGGAUUAACUGCCUUGUUCAGGGGUAAAACGACAGAUUGUUACCUUGUCAGCUCGGGGAUUCGAUCCAGCAACCUUUACGGUUAAUGGCCCAACGCUCUAACCACUAACUACCUGCCGCAUCAACAUCAGCUGCUAACACUGCCUUUGGGACGACUCGUUUGGGUGGAGACAAGAACAUCUCAUCAUUAUAUACAGAUCUCUGACUAAGUUAACACCGACAUAAUAUUUUGGGGAUUGGUAGAGGUGACCAAUAAUGGCUGCAGUAGAGAUCAGGGGCCUCAUUUAUAAACGUUGCGUAGGCACCAAAGAAGGCACACGCCACUUUCUAAGCAAACUUUGGGAUUUAUAAAAAUAAAAAAACUUGACUGGAGAAUGUGCGCUCCUCCACGGCCCAAAUAAAAUAAUAAAUAAAUAAACUGGAGAUAUGAGAAACUGUGCCUCCGAUGGCUCGAGAAACACUUUGAACUUGAUACCAGUGUGUAAAAUAAAUCGAAAUAUAACCUCUCACAUAUUAUAUAUGAACACUUGAUUUAAGAUAAUAAAUACAAAAGAACCCCUCAAAUAUGUUGAACAGUUCAAUCAUAAAUAAAUUAUAAGACAAAUUACGUUUAAACUGAUGCCGUUUUCGAUGCCUCAGUCAGGCAGAUACAAUUGCAUAGUUUCAUAUACUGUUUAUCACUUGUUCGUUGUGAAGAACUGUCAAUGUGAUAAUGUCCCUGUCAUUGUCAGUUACAAUCAGAAUCAGGGUAAUUACCACACCUGAAGGUGUUACGCAAUCGGGUACCUUUGACAAUCAAAUGGGUGGGUAUAAAAAGGCAUGCAAUUACAAUGUGUAGUGAUGCACAGUGUCUGCUUUGGCUCUGUUGGACGAUUGGUCGAAUGGAAGAAUUCAGAGAGAGUGAAUUUUCAGAGACCGGCAAGAUUUACUGGACAAUUAUGAUGAGUGACUUAUGAGCCGGUUCUGAUUACCAAGAGCUAUUCUCUUGGAUCUCUGUGCUGUAGUUGGCCCAGCUUUGCAGAUAAGCACCCGCAGAAACCAAGCCGUGCCUGUCCCACUUCAAGUCCUGACAACCCUUGGAUUUCUGGCAACCGGCACUUUUCAAAGGGAAUUGUCUGACAGGUCAGGGAUCUCUCAGCCAACCGCUAGCCGCGUUAUGCCAGACGUGUUAGGAGUUAUAAUUGGAUUGACGCACCUCUACAUGGUGGGUGAACAGGCAAAUAAAGAAAAUGAAAUUUGAAGCAAUGUCCUGGUUUCCCCAAAUGUAAUCGGGGCUAUUGACUGCACUCAUGUUGCUAUUUUCUUUCAUUAAUCGAAAGUGUUAUCAUUCCAUUAAUGUCCGAAUCAUAUGUGAUGCGGACAUGCUACUGACUAGUGUCGGGGCCCAUGACUCAUUCAUAUGGAGAAACAGCAGCGAGGGGCACAGACUUGAGGCCGGAGCUGUGCGUGAUGGCUGGCUUCUAGGCAACAGUGGAUAUCCCCUCAAGCGGUGGCUGCUCACCCCUUUCACCAAUCCACAGAGAACAGAGGAGAGGAACUGCAAUGUGCGCCAUUGCCAGAUAUGUUGUGGAGCGCACCACCAGGCUUCUGAAGGGCAGAUGACGCUGAUUCCUCAGGCGGGAAACCUUUUAUGCAAGCCUGAAAAGGUCUGCGACAUCGUGAGCUGUGCUACAUAAUGUGGUACAGCUAAGGAAUGUGGCCCCUGACGCUGUUGGUUGUGUUGGCCCCAAUCCCGACCCCUAUCCCCAGGCAUUUGAACCAAACGCAGCUGCUGUGUGCCAGCAUGUGAAUGUGAUGCGUCGCUUGUAAGAACACAAGGACUGCAUCUGUGAGGACACAGCCGCUGGAGAGUUGUGACGCACGAGGUGUAGUGGAGACGGCUGGGCGCAAAAGGAGAUGAUUGUGGACUACAGGAAGAAAAGUACAGAGCACGCCCCCAUUCUCAUCGACGGGGCUGUAGUGGAGCAGGUUGAGAGCUUCAAAUUCCUUGGUGUCCACAUCACCAACAAACUAGAAUGGUCCAAACACACCAAGACAGUCGUGAAGAGGGCACGAUAAAACCUAUUCCCCCUCAGGAGACUGAAAAGAUUUGGCAGGGGUCCUCAUAUCCUCAAAAGGUUCUACAGCUGCAACAUCACUGCUUGGUACGGCAACUGCUCGGCCUCCGACCGCAAGGCACUGCAGAGGGUAGUGCGUACCUCCCAGUACAUCACUGGGGCUAAGCUGCCUGCCAUCCAGGACCUCUAUACCAGGCAGUGUCAGAGGAAGGCCCUGAAAAUUGUCAAAGACCCCAGCCACCCCAGACAAAGACUGUUCUCUCUGCUACCGCAUGGCAAGCGGUACCGGAGCGCCAAGUCUAGGUCCAAGAGGCUUCUAAACAGUUUUUACCCCCAAGCCAUAACACUCCUGAACAGGUAACCAAUGGUUACCUGGACUAUUUGCAUUGUGUCCCGCCACUCCCCCGCCAACCCCUCUUUUAGUCUGCUGCUAUUCUCUAGAUAUCAUCUAUGUAUAGUCACUUUAACUAUACAUUCACAUACAUAUUAACUCAACUAGCCCGACUAACCGGUGCCCCCGCACUUUGGCUACCUGGACUAUUUGCAUUGUGUGUCCCCCCUCCACCCCUCUUUUACACUGCUGCUACUCUCUCUACUCUUUAACUAUACAUUCAUGUGCAUAUUUUCUCCAUUAGCCGGACUAACCAGUGCCCUCACACAUUGACUCUGUACCAGUACCACCUGUAUAAAAGCUUUGUUACUGUUAUUUUCUGUGUUUUCUUUCUUUACUUAUCUAUUGUUUACCUAAAACCUAUGUUUUACUUAAAAAUCGCAACGUUGGUUAGGGCUUGUAAGUAAGCAUUCCAGUGUAAGGUCUACACCUGUUGUAUUCGGGGGCACAUGACAAAUCAACUUUGAUUUGUUAUCAGCUCAGCUGCAGCACCACCGACCCCUGCUGAAACAAUCAGCUCCUGCUGGAACACUCAGCUCCUGCUCCACUGUAGCACCACCGACACCUGCUGGAACACUCAGCUCCUGCGCCACUGCAGCACCACCGACCCCUGCUGGAACACUCAGCUCCUGCUCCACUGCAGCACCACCGACCCCUGCUGGAACACUCAGCUCCUGUUCCACUGCAGCACCACCGACCCCUGCUGGAACACUCAGCUCCUGCUCCACUGCAGCACCACCAAACCCUGCUGGAACACUCAGCUCCUGCUCCGCUUCAGCACCACCA
Long non-coding RNA from Oncorhynchus tshawytscha (Chinook salmon), 4429 nucleotides. NCBI's taxonomy places the organism in Eukaryota, Metazoa, Chordata, Actinopteri, Salmoniformes, Salmonidae. The record is from Ensembl.